Molecule: ribosomal RNA, 468 nt
Filed under: uncultured bacterium
Lineage: Bacteria
Description: partial 16S ribosomal RNA
Rfam family: Bacterial small subunit ribosomal RNA
Source: RNAcentral
GACGAACGCUGGCGGCGUGCUUAACACAUGCAAGUCGAACGGAAAGGCCCUGCUUUUGUGGGGUGCUCGAGUGGCGAACGGGUGAGUAACACGUGAGUAACCUGCCCUUGACUUUGGGAUAACUUCAGGGAACUGGGGCUAAUACCGGAUAGGAGCUCCUGCUGCAUGGUGGGGGUUGGAAAGUUUCGGCGGUUGGGGAUGGACUCGCGGCUUAUCAGCUUGUUGGUGGGGUAGUGGCUUACCAAGGCUUUGACGGGUAGCCGGCCUGAGAGGGUGACCGGCCACAUCGGGACUGAGAUACGGCCCAGACUCCUACGGGAGGCAGCAGUGGGGAAUAUUGCACAAUGGGCGGAAGCCUGAUGCAGCAACGCCGCGUGCGGGAUGACGGCCUUCGGGUUGUAAACCGCUUUCGCCUGUGACGAAGCGUGAGUGACGGUAAUGGGUAAAGAAGCACCGGCUAACUACGUG